AGCGAACGCUGGCGGCAGGCCUAACACAUGCAAGUCGAACGAAGUCUGCGGACUUAGUGGCGGACGGGUGAGUAACACGUGGGAACGUGCCGUUAGGGUCGGAAUAACUCAGGGAAACUUGUGCUAAUACCGAAUGUGCCCUUCGGGGGAAUGAUUUAUCGCCUUUAGAGCGGCCCGCGUCUGAUUAGCUAGUUGGUGAGGUAAAGGCUCACCAAGGCGACGAUCAGUAGCUGGUCUGAGAGGAUGAUCAGCCACAUUGGGACCGAGACACGGCCCAAACUCCUACGGGAGGCAGCAGUGGGGAAUCUUGCGCAAUGGGCGAAAGCCUGACGCAGCCAUGCCGCGUGAAUGAUGAAGGUCUUAGGAUUGUAAAAUUCUUUCACCGGGGACGAUAAUGACGGUACCCGGAGAAGAAGCCCCGGCUAACUUCGUGCCAGCAGCCGCCGCCG
Molecule: ribosomal RNA, 449 nt
Filed under: uncultured bacterium
Lineage: Bacteria
Description: partial 16S ribosomal RNA
Rfam family: Bacterial small subunit ribosomal RNA
Source: RNAcentral